UGCUUAAGUCCAAACACAAGAUGGAAGACAU
This 31-nucleotide non-coding RNA is filed under the name Rattus norvegicus (Norway rat). Lineage: Eukaryota; Metazoa; Chordata; Mammalia; Rodentia; Muridae. The record is from RNAcentral.